Triticum aestivum (bread wheat) is the source of this 2607-nucleotide long non-coding RNA. RefSeq lists it as uncharacterized. Lineage: Eukaryota; Viridiplantae; Streptophyta; Magnoliopsida; Poales; Poaceae. The record is from RefSeq and is a predicted model, not a curated record. The transcript is spliced from 2 exons.
UUCUCGUCACAUCCGUCUCUCGCGUUCUCCUCUAGUUUCUUCCGCAUGCAUCCCCAUCUGAGCUCGCCAUCAACAUUGUCGCAUCUAUCCUCUCCGACUUCUUCGCCUAGAUUCAACCUGCUGCACACCAUGCUUCCUUCCCACCUCGUUGCCGGCCACACUAUCCACCGCAUGGCCCAGAUCCAAAUCGAAACUCAUGCAUGACCUGCUCCACAAUGCGGCCCCGGCGACCUCGUCCGUGUGGCAUCCUUGCCAGACAGUAGAAGGUGGUUGUGCCCGCCAUCUCCACCGCUGCAUCACCAGGUUGCAUGGAGGCUGUAGGGUGUGCCCACCAUCUCCACCACCCCUCGACUGGUGAACCAGCAGUUGUCUCUGAUAGUCUGUUCGUCCUUUUUUGUUCUUUGAUCUCAAAUACAAUUUUACUAUAAUUGAUGGUAAUGUAUUUUAAUUGAUUCCAUGUUUUAAUCAUGCUCUGCCUCAUUUUUAUGCGUGCAGAAACAUAGAACCAACCAAUUUGGAUAGAAUUUGUAUGCAGAUCCGAAUGAUGCACCUGCAUGUUGGCAAUACUUAUUAUCAAUUUCUAGUUUCUGUUUUUAUGCUUCCAGGGGCAUGACUUAUAUUGAGAUAGCAUGAAAUUGAUGCUUCCAGAUAUCCAUGCUUCCUAAUCCAAUAUAUGUUUCUUAGUACAGUUAAUUUACCGCAAUAGAACCAUGCCUCGAAAUAUUCAUUCUUAAGCAUCCAACGUUUUUGGUACAUGUAUUUUGAACCUUCUUUCUAGCACUAGUUGUUGAUCCCCACCUUCUAUUGCUAUACAUCAUGCCUAAACGUUUUAGCGAAAUGUUUCUGUGCGGCGCGCCGGCGCAACGCUCGGGCCGGUCGCUCGUGCGUUGUACGAUAGAAACACCCCUGGCCACUCGUUUUGUGGGUCCUAGCACCGCCCAGCCCUCCCAUCCUUAUCUCCUCCUCCCGCAUCUCUCUUCCUCCACUUCUUUUUCCAUCGUCAGCCAUGGGAGCGGCAGCCCCAAUCUUGCUCAUCUCCUUCCUCUCUCUACUCCUCCCUCCCCUACCCCCUGAGCUAAAGAGGCUAUUGACAGCGCCCGCACCACACCCUUCAGAGCUGCUGCAAAGGGAGGAGUUGCACAGCCAGGACGCACUCGUCACUAUGGGUCGCCCAGGUGAGCUCGUCGCCAUGUCGUGCACGUCAUCGUUCUUGACUGUUGCGACCGCACCUCCUGCUGAUGCCCUCCUUUUCUGGGUAGGGGACGGCGAGCGGGGGGUGCUGCAAGCAGCGGAGGACGGGGCUACAAGCGGGGCGGCCACCACCAACCACCGAUGUGUAUUCGCGGUGGAGAUGCUGCUACCCCGGUGCGGCGGAGCUACAACCGUAGGCCGGUGGAGUUGCAACCAGCAAAAAAAAUGCUGGAACCGGUGAUAGCCGUGUUGUGAUGGCCAUGGCUGCGAUUCAUCGUUGCUGGGACCAGCAAAUUUUUUUGCUGGAAACAGCGAUUUUUUUUGCUACGACCCCAGCGACGAUGAUUCAUAGUUUGCUGGAACGACAAGUACUUUUGCUGGAACCAUUUUCUUUUUUUGUUGCAAGCAUAAUUUCUUUUUGUUAUGACCGUUUUGAUUUUUGCUGGAACAAACAUCCAUUAUUUUUGUUACCAUCGUCUUGGAUUUUUUUGGUGGAACCGGUGUAUUUUUGUGCUACAACUGUUCUUCAAUUUUGCUGGAACCAACCCACCUUUUUUGUUUGCGAUUUUCAUGAUGGCGAGCGUGCGGACGAUGAGCGUCGACGGCAAGCGAUUGGCCAUCGCCACCGGAGCUGCAACCGUCGCUAUCAGAGCUGCAAUUGCAGGCCACAGCUGUUGCAUGCAUGGAGUCAGAGACAAGUGCAGGCGGCGACCGGUGACAAGGACAUCCGGCGAGGGCGGCCGAUGAGGUGCGGUGACCGGCGACGAGGACAUCCAGCGUGGGCGGCUAGGACAAAGGGAGCGAUGACCCUGGAAGACAAAGGGAGCAAUGAGAGGCAUGGGGUCUUUUUUCAUACGCGCUCGUGCGGCAGACAACUACAUCGAUCGUACGACUGCAGACGACUUAAUCAGACGGCUGAAAGUGGACCGGCCGAAUGAUUAGGCCGGUGCGCCGGCGCCUAUUAGUCGCCAACGUUUUAUGCAUCAAAGGUGCUUAAAGGUCGCCGAUGCCAGCCGAGUGACAAGCUAGCCAACUGGCCCGAGGAGCUCAAGGAUGGCGGCACCCAGUGGCAUGCAGACGAAUCACGAUGGCAACGAUGGGCCUGCUUGCUUGCCAACAGAUGGAAAUAACAAGCUACAUGGAAAGUUGGGCGCCGCGGUAGACAUAUAUAGAAGCAUACAUGGAAGCAACCCAUGCAUGCACCUAGAAGUGUGAUGAGACAUGGAUCUUCCCUACAAUGAAGAGGACCACAUGCGAAGAGAAGCAAGUUUACAAUCUAUAGGAACAUAUGAUAUUAACUUAGAAGCAGUGUACAUACUAUUGGAGACUUGGAAGAAAAUAACCUUGUAUCAUGCCUUGAACUUAGUAUAUGAAUGAAUGAAGCAGGAAACGAACUUCUUUUCUGUUGGAGACAAA